Molecule: ribosomal RNA, 240 nt
Filed under: uncultured bacterium
Lineage: Bacteria
Description: partial 16S ribosomal RNA
Rfam family: Bacterial small subunit ribosomal RNA
Source: RNAcentral
ACGAGUGGCGGACGGGUGAGUAAUGUCUGGGAAACUGCCCGAUGGAGGGGGAUAACUACUGGAAACGGUAGCUAAUACCGCAUAACGUCGCAAGACCAAAGAGGGGGACCUUAGGGCCUCUUGCCAUCGGAUGUGCCCAGAUGGGAUUAGCUAGUAGGUGGGGUAAAGGCUCACCUAGGCGACGAUCCCUAGCUGGUCUGGGAGGAUGACCAGCCACACUGGAACUGAGACACGGUCCAG